AGGGGUGUGGGGCCUUCAGCAGCGGGCAUGGCCUCCCCAUGCGGGGGAGACGCUGGCUGGCCCUGGGGCGGCAAGGUGACUGGCCACCUCAAGAGACCCUCAUCACGAGGGGGACAAACACUGUUACCUGGACCUCAGCUUCUGUCGCGGCCCAACCUGGCCAGGAACGUACCUUCAGGAGGGAAAGGUUGAUUCCUAACCCCCAGAACCUCCAAACAUGACUCUUUGAAGGUGGGGUCUCUGAAGAGGUAAUAAGAUGAAAGGAAGCCAGGAACAUGGACCCUAAUACGAUCUGGCCAGUGUCCUUACAAAAAGAGGAGAUUAUGACACAGAUACUCACAGAAGGAUGACCAUCUGAGGAUGUAGGGAGGAGAUGGCCGUGUUCACGCCGAGGAGAGAGGCCCCACGAGAAACCAGCCCUACCCACACCUUGGUCCUGAACUUCCAGCAUCUGGAACUGUGAGAAAAUAAAUUGUCAAUUGUUUAAGCCA
Odocoileus virginianus texanus is the source of this 491-nucleotide long non-coding RNA. RefSeq lists it as uncharacterized. The record is from RefSeq and is a predicted model, not a curated record. Lineage: Eukaryota; Metazoa; Chordata; Mammalia; Artiodactyla; Cervidae.